GACGAACGCUGGCGGCGUGCUUAACACAUGCAAGUCGAACGAAAAUACCAAGCUUGCUUGGUUGAUUAGUGGCGAACGGGUGAGUAACACGUGAGUAACCUGCCCCUUACUUUCCUGGAUAACUGCUCGAAAGGGUAGCUAAUACGGGAUAUUCUGACCAGCCUGCAUGGGUUGGUUUGGAAAGGUUGUUUUUCUGGUAAGGGAUGGGCUCGCGGCCUAUCAGCUUGUUGGUGGGGUGAUGGCCUACCAAGGCUUUGACGGGUAGCCGGCCUGGGAGGGUGGACGGUCACACUGGGACUGGGAUACGGCCCAGACUCCUACGGGAGGCAGCAGUGGGGAAUAUUGCACAAUGGGCGCAAGCCUGAUGCAGCGACGCCGCGUGAGGGAUGAAGGCCUUCGGGUUGUAAACCUCUUUCGUCAGGGAACAAGGCACUGCUUUUUUGGUGGUGUUGAGGGUACCUGGAUAAGAAGCGCCGGCUAACUACGUG
This 488-nucleotide ribosomal RNA is filed under the name uncultured bacterium. RNAcentral describes it as "partial 16S ribosomal RNA". It matches the Rfam family "Bacterial small subunit ribosomal RNA", at positions 28 to 507 of the family's 1533-position model. The record is from RNAcentral.